UUGAACCAAGUUACACUACAUCCGGGUUCCACACACUCCAUUUUUAGAGGAUUAAAGAUAAAAGACUGGAUUCAAAUGCCUUCAUUUGCCAAGUGCAUGUUUCUAAUCAGGAAUUAGAACCUUUGUAAUAAGAUUAUGACGACGGCUACGGAACCGCUUACGAUGACCAAGGGUAUGAGUCUUACGACAACAGCUACAGUAAUCAAGGACAAAACUCAGAUGACUACUAUGAAUAUGGACACAGCGGGGAGUCAUAUGAGUCGUACGGCCAGGAAGAGUGGGCAAACAGUCGCGGCAAGGCUCCGUCGGUUCGGACGGCCAAGGGAGCUUACAGGGAUCAGCCAUACUCCAGAUACUGAACUGUUUUUACAAGCCGCACCCCCCCAAGGCCCCAUGGUGGUUUCAACCCAAGUAAUGGAUUUUUUUAUGGACGUUCCCAUCUUUUUAGAAUUGAAAACCCGAAUCCGCGACAUAACACACAAACAAAACUCUGAACUGAAAGUAUUAUAACAUGAAAAUCAUACUCUUGAUUUGGAAAAGGAAAAAAUCGCAAAGCAGUUUAGGUAAGCUCUCUGUAGUAGAAUCGACAGAAAGUUAAGGCUAAAAAGGAAAAAAAGACUCCAUAGUACAUUAAGUUUCUCUCUCAGCUAUGUGAUUGUGAAGAAUGACAUUGUAUCAGGUUAUUUUACUUGGUAAUGAUUAGUGAGCCACGCCACUGUAAGCUGUUGGAUACAAUGCUUCCACACAGCUGCCAGUGCAACUUAAUUUAUCACCCUCUAUUCUUUAGACCUCUGAAAUGUUAGUAGAUUAGUUUCUAGGAAAGUGCAGUACUGUAGAUACUUUCUCCUGAAGGAUAAUUGGUUAACUUUGUGUCCCUUGUAAAUGAAACAUUUGCAAACUGAAAAAAAAGAAGAGAUAAGUCAUUCUGUAUACACAUUGUAUUGCUGUUUCUUCCUCUUUUUUUAAUGUAAAAUAACAGUCCAGUUAGUGUUAAAGGGCUUAUAGAAGCAUGGUGUGCAACUGUGGACGUUACCAGCUGUUAAAAGAAGCCUGUGUAGUUGUGAUCAUUGGUUUUGCCCCCAAACAUCUCCUUAAGUCCAUUCAGAAAUAGCUGCGCCUGCUUUCUGUACGCUGAUCCACCAUAGCUGCCAAACGCUUUGGGAGCUUUCAAAUGUCUGCCUUUCUUUUCAGAUGCUCCUGCUGAGCAUUUGUGAUGCUCCUCGUUUUUAUGCUUUUAGAGAAUAUGAAACGUGAUACAGUGCUGGUAAAAGGUUUACAUUCCCUCAUCUUAGGCAUGAAAGUCCUAAACUAUGAUGAAUUUGAAUCAGUCUUUUUUUCGAGGUGUAAUGAGAAUACAACAUGAUUUUGAGGAUGCAAAAAUUUGAGUUUGUUAAUGGAUUUACUCCAAACUAGAUCAAAGGUUAUACAACCAGGCUCAAAUGGUUACAAAUACUUCCUGUAAUUUGGUUACAUUUAGAUUUAGAUUCUGCCUGAACUUGUUUCUGGCACAUGAGGAAGUGGUGCACUGGGUGCCCAUAUACACCGGCUGACCUUGUGACCUUUACUGCAUGUCUUCUUCCCUUUCUCUCUCUGUCCAUUUCGUGUUUGAUUACUACAAGUAAAGGUCAUUAGUGCCUCAAAAAAAAGAAAAGAAAAAACUUGAUAGGUUUCUUGGGACUGACCUGGCUUUCAAGCACAGUCCGCAAAUCUUGAAUAGGGAAAGGUCAGGGACAUGUUAGCCUGCUUUAUCAGCUCCAAAAUAUGUUUUGAUGUGUGUUUGGGUUCAUUGUCCUGCUGGAACAUGAUGUUGUGCAAGAAAAACAAAAAAAAUCAAACAAACAAAAUUGUAAGAUUUGUUUUCUUCACAAGGCACAAGAACAUUCUCAGCUCAGCUAAUGUCUAAAACCUAAUUACAGGUACUGACUCCUGACAACAGAUAUUGUCUAUGUAGUAAACAAGAACAGUUCAGACUCUUUGUACAAUAUCUUAUGUUCACAAUACCAAGAUCUGAUUAGUAAACUGCAAAAAGGUUUGUGUAAUUUCCUGACUUUUGGAGAUUUGUUCUGCUGUGCUGAUCGACUCUGUGAGAUUUGAUUCAGCAAAACACCCAAUAGACCGGUAGAUUUGUCUUGAUUGGGGACCAAAGUUGCAACAUUUGUUCCAUUUUCAGCUGAUGAUAUUUUCUUUCACACUGCUCUGUGUCAAACAAUCCAAACCAAUUGAAAAACCUGGUCCCCUCCUCGCCUGUGGUGGCACUGCACCGAGAACCACUGAGGCAAAUGACAUGAAAAGCUCUGAAGAAGACACCGAGUGCAACUGCUUUCUUCAAGAAAUGUAAACAAAAAUGGAGUGGCAGGAGAUUUUAAUGGUCGUAGGGUUUCUCUUUCGUCUUUGGCAAAAGAACACAAACCAUUUCUCCCUCAAGCGUUAGACUCACACAUUUGUUUUGGUUGUAUUUACCCAGAAUGCCCUGUGUCAUAGUCCACUUCCUGCUUUUGAAGCAGUCUUUGGUUCACUUGGUAUUCACACAUGCAUUCAAACCAAACAGAGACCUGGGUUUGUAGGAAGACUUGAGUUUGUUUGCUUUUUUUGGUCCACAUCAGAGUUCAAUUACGCAUUCCCACCUUCCCAAAUGAACCCGACUUUCUAGGCAAACAAACUAGAAUUAGAUUAAUGCAGAUUAAUCAGAGCUAGUUUGAAUGCACCCUAUAUCUUAAUAAGUAAUACUGAACCAACAGCGUGUCUAAGUUUGAUCCAAGCAGCUCCUGUCAGAUGGAAGAAUGUUAAUUUGGAUGUUCAAGAACAUUAUGAAGCCAAUAAUGUAGUAUGUGAUGGAAUCUUAAUGUCCACAAUAAAGGCAAUUCUAUCAUUAACUUAGAAGAAUCACUUCACAGUUGGCCAUAUGGACAAGACAAAGGCUGUCUGGAGAAAUGUUUCAUGAUUAAUAACAAGAACUAUUUUUGGAAGAGUCAAUGUGAUUCAUUCAAAACAAAGAAAACUUUACAAACUGUUGUACAGACUAUGUGGAAUAAUGACGGCUAAACACAACUGACAAGUUCUUCAGUUUCAACUCGGCUGCUACAUGCUUGAAACUUGGUCAUAGUUGGUUGUUGGAACAGGACAAUGACCCAAACAGCUAUUAAGCUUUGUAUUGGCCCCAACCUUUCCCACAUUGAAGGUGAUUUAUGAAAUGUGCUUAAAGGCCAGGGCAGGGCGGGGCAAUGGCGGUAAUCAGAAUGAAUUCAACCAGUUUAGGCAGAAUUAUGCCAGAAGCUUGGACACAAAACUGUGUAGUUUCUCUUCCACUUGCUAUGACACAUUUAACCAAAUCUAAUGGGAGUGUAUGGAUAUAAUUAAGCUUUUAUGGGUAACUUUAAUCACACGUGGAUGAGGGAAAUUUAUAUUUGUGCUCCCAAUCCUUCUCAAAACUCAGUGAAGUUGCAGCUAUCCUCAUUACAACUGGACAAAAAGAGCAGGCAAAAGUAAUGACAAUUAUGACAUUCAUUUACGUAAUCGGUGUGUGUAAACUUUUGACCAGAACUUUACCGUUACCUUUCUCCACACUUGUUUUUGAGUUUCAAUCUCAUCACCCACCUUUCCCCCUAUCCUUCUGGAGAUAUGUUCAACUCUAUGGAUUGUGAGCUUAUGUAAGCCCUUUAAUAAUUCUUUCUUUGUUGAUGCUAAUAAACAUUUUGAAAGAAAACCUUUGUGUUGAGGAGAAUAAUUACACACUGCUAAAUGCGCUUUAUAAUUUAAACUAAACCCAAUGAAACCCCCUGAUGUUUGAAACAUUUGCUCCACAGAAAAGCUCAAAAUGAACUAAGCGGAUCUUUUACACCUUGAUAACAUUACAAGAGCUUAAACCGUCAUAUGUUACAGAUUUUGAAUUUAACACAAAUAUCAAGAUGGCAUGACCAGAAGUCCAAACAAAUACAAAAUGGCCGCUGGCGACCUUGCAGACGGUCUUGGUCAUCUGAUAACGUUUUGCACCAAUUUGGAUUCAAACAUUUUCAUAGCGCCGUCUCCCACCGAGACGCAGAGGAUUUAAGCGAUAACAACUCUUGAAACUCGUAUUUGCUGAUACGAUUUGAUGCACCUGAUCGCGUCACGCAUCAUCAGUAAACACACAAUAACGUCUCUGAGUGUUUACUCCCCGACAGACACGGCUCAUCUAAAGCCUGCCCGACCUGCCACGUUGGCUUCAGCAUAAAAAAAAAAUGGAGGAUUGGUGGGGUAGAGUUCUCUCUCUUUCUUGUCUUCCUGUUUUUGCUCUUCCUGCUCAUGUGACCCUCUCCCAGUCGCUUUAAAGAUCCUGCCUUUACCCCGCACGUUAAAUUGAACCCCAGCUGACCUCCGCAGAGAGAGGACGGCAGUAGCUGUUUAAAAAGACCGCCGCCCCACAAGGUAAACACCCUAACGCAGUUUAACCUCACCCCCCUCAACAUAGUUACUCAUAAACAAAUUCUAAACAUCAAUGAAAUGUUUUCCUGUAACUUUGAAGUUCGUAAUCCAGCCACGAAGCUAGAAUUAAUUAGAUUUCUGAAAAAAAAACAAAGCUAAAAAAUGUUAAAUAGUUUUAAUAUCUCAACAAACUGUGAAAUCAUUUUGUUCUAAGAUUUUAAUAAAACACGCAAUGUUUCGUUAACUGGACUAAAAACAUGGCUUAUAUUUUCUGAUGUUGGCUGAAAACGAUAUUGCUCAUGGUGUUUAUGUUUUUCCUUCAGGCUGAGGUCACAGCUGAACACCGCUGUCUGUCCAAACACGUUCCUACUGCUGAAGGAUUAAGAACAACGGACGCGUCUUUCUAGAAGCAUUGUCCAAUUGAAUCGGCGUCCAAAUCCACAGAAGAUCUUUGCUUGACCGUUUGUUUUUUUUACAUUUAUAACGUGGACUGUGGUCAUUACUUCAUGGCUUCAAAAAGAGAUGGAAAGCGACUUGUUUGGAGACGCAGAAAACAGAGUUGGAAGCCACAUCACAUGAAUCACACCUCAUCGUUCUCCGGAGAAAAGAGCAAAAAAAAGCUGUGAAUGGACUUCAGCGUCCUCUGGGACUCAGAGAAGAAAAAUUCUUUCAGAGCAUCAUUGACUCUCCGUAACUUCUUCACACACGCAGAACUGUUCUGGAUCGACUGCGAGCCUGAACCCGUCUCUCCUGUUUGCAGUAGAGAAGAUGUGUGAACCUUUUAUGGUAGACGUUAACUGUUGCCUGCCUGGAUGGAUGAGUUCAUGAAUAAUGCAGCAUGCCAAGGGAGGAACGUCGUCAUCCUAAAGGAAUUUUCUGUUUUCGUCUCAUUGUUGUCAAUAAUUUCAAUCCAGUGUUCCCAAUUGAAUUAACAACUCAAAAAGUGCCUUUCUGUGACAGUUUUAGAUAUUUUUGAGCUAAAGUUCAGCUGCCAGAGCUAACUGUUUUCCUUUCUACUGUGUGUCACCACAAUGUUAGAAACUCCUUCCCGUCCUCACAGAAGACGGCGCCCCAUUCCAGAUGCAUCGCUUAAUCACGCUCCACUUCGGUGGAUAUUCCAAUUCUGAAAUAGCUUUUCCGCCGAUACAGAGAGAGCUCCGUAAGUCCAGACGGACUCAUCCCUAUUCCACACACUUGUAAGUUCUCAAAGGCAGACAAUAGUUUUCCAUUAGAGGAAGCGAUUGUCGGCGGAGCCCCGGGUGCAGCCUCAGACAAUAACAUGGCGACCCAAAGCUCACAUGUCGGCCUGCCGGAGUCAACUCUCAUCACCUCCAGGGGCUGAUUCCCACUCUGAAGUGGCUUAAAGACACAGGCUUAUCUGAAGUUAGCUUGUCCGAGUUAAUAGAGAAAGAACAGCUUAUUUGAUUAAGAAUGCAUACAAAGGAGGAUGUAGUGAUCUGUGGCUAGAAGACGAGUCAAUUUCAGCUCCAGAGUACAAAUCAAUGUGUCUCUAACAGACCAUAAGACUGCUUAACUCAGCAAUGAAAUUAGACUGAGGCAAAAAUGCUAAAGCAGUGAUGAACUUGUGAAUAAGGGACAACUUUUGCUGAAGAUGUUGCCCUGUUGUGAUGGUGUUUGCUUGUUUUCUUUACGGUUGUGAGUCAGAUAUGAACUCAUCUUUACUUCUCCAUUGCCACAUGAAGUAAGAUGUUAAAAAGGGCCAUCUUCAGCUGGUGUUAUUGCUGUAUAGCCAACUAUUAAUCUGACUCGAUUUAACAGAUACAUAAUCCUCCAAUUGCUAGGUUCCAUUAGGUUCCUCUACUGCAGGGUUUCAUUUUGGGCCAUAUCUAGAUCACAAAUAACUUCAAAUUAUUGAAAAAUGUACUGAUAAAACUAUAUAAAAGCAAACUGUUCAACCAUUAAAGUGGUAGUGUUAUCUAUUUUCCACUCAUAUAAUACCAUUUUAUAGCACAAUCAAAUAACAAUGUUAACUUCAGUUUUUGUAGAUAUGCUUUAUGUAUCAAAAAUGACUUAAAAGAAAUUUGACUUUGUAUUUCUAUGACUUGAAGUUGGGCCUCUGUCUCUUUAAGAAACUCUUGGUCUUUCUGAAACUCUGCCCCAACAGGAAGUGACACCUGAAAAGCUGGACUGGUCAGGGCAAAAGGUCUUUAUUGUGUUCAUCACAGAGCCAGCCUGGGGGAAGAAACUGUCCCUGUGGCUGCUAGUUUUUGCAAAUAGUGCCAAAAUGAAGGUUAAAGUUUAAACAGUUUGUGUCCAGGAUGUGUGGGCUCUGCAGGUAUUUAAGCUUCCUUUCUCCUGACCUUAGACUUGUACAACAGAAAAGGUCAGCCCUGAUUCCAGAGAUAUAAAUAUCUGUCAUUAUUUUAUCGUGCUACAUUUAAGUUUGUGUACACAUGAAAAAUUAUCAUGCAUAAUAGUAUUGUGCUGUAUUAGCCUCUGAAGCUGUAACUCAUACAACAUCAUACCCCAAACAACAUGUUCCAGUUGUUGCCAAGCUCACUUUUAUAAACAAUAGGAAAUUACGUUUUUAUUCAUGUUUUAAACACAAAUGGAAAAUGCUGAUUGGGGAUGAAACAAGACUCAUGAUAUUAAAACAUGACAGUGUUUCUCGUCAAGGUAAAUGCUAUCUUGUUAGCAAUAACCAUUCGCCUGAUGUUUUAGUAGAAGUUGCCCAAACUUUAGGUUUCCAGUAGGAACGAUUAAUGGGAACAGAUGGAGAGACAAGACAGGGGCACAACUACAUAUUAUUCAGGUGGAUGCGAAAACAUAAAUCGCCCCGUGAAGGAGUGUAGAAAACAUAUGGUCGCUCUAUCCGUAUGAGUGACCAUAUGUUAUGAGUGACCCCCCCGAGACGAAGACACAUGAAAGGUAAAACUCGCUACGUUUACAUUUACAUGUGCGCGAGGUGAAGGAGCGUAAGGGCGCGGUGAAGU
Poecilia latipinna (sailfin molly) is the source of this 7355-nucleotide long non-coding RNA. RefSeq lists it as uncharacterized. NCBI's taxonomy places the organism in Eukaryota, Metazoa, Chordata, Actinopteri, Cyprinodontiformes, Poeciliidae. The record is from RefSeq and is a predicted model, not a curated record. The transcript has 5 exons.